GACGAGAAGGUGCCGCAGUGAUGAGAAGCCCCCGCUUACCCAGACUGGAGAGAGCCCACACAGAGCAACAAAGACCCAGUGCGACCAAAAAAGCCAGAGUUAACCCAGGCUCUCUUCCCCAGAAGCAAGCUUGAUCAUCCUUUAAGUCCUGAGAAUCUACAAGCAAAUUCCUGCAACUCCCGGACCUGCCCUGUUUUGAGCACUGUCCUAAAGUUGAGGACAUCUGGACGGUGCUCGUGUCAACAACCGCGGGGCACCCUCCCGUCCCCAGGCGGUUCUGCCCCAGUGUCUUCAACAAGCUGAUGUAGGAUAAUGU
This is a long non-coding RNA of Bos taurus (domestic cattle), 316 nucleotides long. NCBI's taxonomy places the organism in Eukaryota, Metazoa, Chordata, Mammalia, Artiodactyla, Bovidae. The record is from Ensembl.